AACGAACGCUGGCGGCAUGCCUAACACAUGCAAGUCGAACGAGACCUUCGGGUCUAGUGGCGCACGGGUGCGUAACGCGUGGGAACCUGCCCUUAGGUUCGGAAUAACUCCCCGAAAGGGGUGCUAAUACCGGAUAAUGUCUUCGGACCAAAGAUUUAUCGCCCUUGGAUGGGCCCGCGUUGGAUUAGCUAGUUGGUAGGGUAAAAGCCUACCAAGGCGACGAUCCAUAGCUGGUCUGAGCGGAUGAUCAGCCACACUGGGACUGAGACACGGCCCAGACUCCUACGGGAGGCAGCAGUGGGGAAUAUUGGACAAUGGGCGAAAGCCUGAUCCAGCAAUGCCGCGUGAGUGAUGAAGGCCUUAGGGUUGUAAAGCUCUUUUACCCGGGAUGAUAAUGACAGUACCGGGAGAAUAAGCUCCGGCUAACUCCGUG
RNAcentral lists this ribosomal RNA (433 nucleotides) under uncultured bacterium. Its description in RNAcentral is "partial 16S ribosomal RNA". It matches the Rfam family "Bacterial small subunit ribosomal RNA", at positions 29 to 507 of the family's 1533-position model. The record is from RNAcentral.